This 92-nucleotide ribosomal RNA is filed under the name Shouchella clausii. RNAcentral's name for it is "partial 23S ribosomal RNA". It matches the Rfam family "Bacterial large subunit ribosomal RNA", at positions 1 to 92 of the family's 2925-position model. Lineage: Bacteria; Bacillati; Bacillota; Bacilli; Caryophanales; Bacillaceae. The record is from RNAcentral.
GGAUAAGUUAGAAAGGGCGCACGGUGAAUGCCUUGGCACUAGGAGCCGAUGAAGGACGCGACGAACCGCGAUAGGCUUCGGGGAGCUGUAAG